RNAcentral lists this ribosomal RNA (194 nucleotides) under Shewanella sp. DH-1. RNAcentral describes it as "partial 16S ribosomal RNA". It matches the Rfam family "Bacterial small subunit ribosomal RNA", at positions 338 to 524 of the family's 1533-position model. Lineage: Bacteria; Pseudomonadati; Pseudomonadota; Gammaproteobacteria; Alteromonadales; Shewanellaceae. RNAcentral also lists the same sequence under 2 other names. The record is from RNAcentral.
CCUACGGGAGGCAGCAGUGGGGAAUAUUGCACAAUGGGGGAAACCCUGAUGCAGCCAUGCCGCGUGUGUGAAGAAGGCCUUCGGGUUGUAAAGCACUUUCAGUAGGGAGGAAAGGGUGAGUCUUAAUACGGCUCAUCUGUGACGUUACCUACAGAAGAAGGACCGGCUAACUCCGUGCCAGCAGCCGCGGUAAU